UACGGAGGGGGUUAGCGUUGUUCGGAAUGACUGGGCGUAAAGCGCGCGUAGGCGAAUCGCAAAGUUGGGGGUGAAAGCCCAGGGCUCAACCCUGGAAUUGCCUUCAAGACUCGCGGUCUGGAGUUCGAGAGAGGUGGGUGGAAUUCCGAGUGUAGAGGUGAAAUUCGUAGGUAUUCGGAGGAACACCAGUGGCGAAGGCGGCCCACUGGCUCGACACUGACGCUGAGGCGCGAAAGCGCGGGGAGCAAACAGG
Molecule: unclassified non-coding RNA, 253 nt
Filed under: uncultured Paracoccaceae bacterium
Lineage: Bacteria; Pseudomonadati; Pseudomonadota; Alphaproteobacteria; Rhodobacterales; Paracoccaceae
Description: uncultured Rhodobacteraceae bacterium contains 16S-23S intergenic spacer region
Rfam family: Bacterial small subunit ribosomal RNA
Source: RNAcentral